RNAcentral lists this ribosomal RNA (408 nucleotides) under uncultured Methylomirabilota bacterium. Its description in RNAcentral is "bacterial SSU rRNA". It matches the Rfam family "Bacterial small subunit ribosomal RNA", at positions 1027 to 1434 of the family's 1533-position model. The record is from RNAcentral. Lineage: Bacteria; Methylomirabilota (SeqCode).
CGUGGAGACAGGUGGUGCAUGGCUGUCGUCAGCUCGUGUCGUGAGAUGUUGGGUUAAGUCCCGCAACGAGCGCAACCCUCACCUCUUGUUGCCAUCAGGUCAUGCUGGGCACUCUAGAGGAACUGCCCCGGUCAACGGGGAGGAAGGCGGGGAUGGCGUCAAGUCAUCAUGCCCCUUACGUCCUGGGCUACACACGUGCUACAAUGGCCGGUACAAAGGGAUGCCACACCGCGAGGUAGAGCUAAACCCAAAAAGCCGGUCUAAGUUCAGAUUGGAGUCUGCAACUCGACUCCAUGAAGGAGGAAUCGCUAGUAAUCGCGUAUCAGCACGACGCGGUGAAUACGUUCCCGGGCCUUGUACACACCGCCCGUCACACCACGAAAGCCUGCUGUACUCGAAGUCGCUGAG